AAAUCUAAGGAAGAGAUUGCUAAUUCAGCUUUGCCAGUUACACUUUCUCAAGGCCCAUAAUUAAAAAUGAGCUUCAGGGCACUAGCAGAGAAGUCAGAUUUGCUCUGAGCCUGAGGGGCUGUAAAUUGGCUGCUUUUGCAAACUGCUUUCACUCUUUUAGGUCAAGAGGGGAAGUAUUAAUGCCUUUGUGUGGUAGAAUAAAUGCUCCCAAAGUGACUUGAAAGAAGAGAUUUUCCUCCCUAAACCUCUAAGAUUACAUAUAAAGGCAGAAUUGGCUUUGGAAGAAGUUAGGUUUGCUGUGAAAAUUACAGGUUAUAUCUUGAUAAAGUUGAAUAGACAGAGAAGAAGGAAGAGAAAAAUGAGCAGAAGGAGGAAGGGGAACCCGUGGAGCUCAACUACAAUUUGCUUGGCCUUCCUAAUGAAAGUGUUUUUAUAUCAUUCUCAGGGAACAGAGGAACACAGCUCUGGAAGACUCUGAAUGCCCAGUAUUGGAUGUCAGCUCUACAAAAUAGGGUACAGACGUCAAUCUGACCAGUCAAUAAUUAUUGAGACCAGCUGAAUAAUCAUAAAUAGGUCUUCUCCAAUUGCAAUCACUGUAGCCAUCUCUCAAGCAACCGCAAUAUGAAGUUCUGACUUGCAUCUAUUGCAAUUUUUUUGCUAUGAUCUAUUUGGAGAAUCAGUCUCCUUCUUGGCUUUUUCUCAGGAACUAUUCCCCAAAAGUCUGAGCUGUUACCUGAGUGUAAGAGAAUAUUCUGCUACUAGCAGGCAUAAUAGUGGAGAAAGCGAUUUAGGGAAAACAUACACUGACUCUUCUCUUUACAUUAUAUUGCCAGAAGAGUACAUCCAUAACAUUUUCAGUUAUGACAUGUCCCAUUGGACUCAUCCACAUACUGGAAAAAUUUACCUCAGAGUCUAGCUAUUAUUGUGAGACAAUUUAAUUUUUGCAAAAUAAUUCUUUCUAAAAUUUCUAAAGUAAAUCUUUAAAUUCUUAAUAUAUUUUUCCUAAAAGUAAUUUCUACAGACACUAUAUAAACACAUAAAGUUUUAUUUUUCAAAAAAAAUUGAGUGUAUUUUAUGCUAUAUUCUGGUGAUGUCUGUUUCACUAGAAAAAUUCAUGUUAUUCAGGAUGUGACGCAGAGAAAUAUUAAGAGUUACCUCUAAACUGACUUGUAUCAGAGAUCUCAUCCAUUAUCACUCAUUGCUUCCUUGAGUUUCUAGUGAUUAAUCAUGUCUAAUUAUUUAUUGAUUACAGGCAUAGCUCACUUUUAUUGCUCUUCGCUUUCUUGUGCUUCAGAGAUAUGCAGUUUGUACAAAUUGAAAGUUUGUGACAGUCCUGUCAAACAAGUCCAUUGGCACUGUUUUUCCAACAGCAUUUGCUCACUUCAUGUCUCUCAGUCAUGAUGUGGUAAUUUUUACAAUAUGUCAAGCUUAUUAAUUCUUAUUAUAUUUGUUAUGGUGACCUGUGAUCAGUGAUCAUUGAUGUUUCUAUUGUAAUUGUUUUGGGGCGCCACUCUCUGCACCCAUGUAAGAGUUAAUCAUUAAAUAUUGUGUGUGUUCUGACUGCUCCACCGACUGGCUCUUCCUCCUCUCUCUCCCUCUCACCCAGCCUCCCUAUUCC
Long non-coding RNA from Equus caballus (horse), 1618 nucleotides. The record is from Ensembl. Lineage: Eukaryota; Metazoa; Chordata; Mammalia; Perissodactyla; Equidae.